This 923-nucleotide non-coding RNA is filed under the name Ambystoma barbouri (streamside salamander). RNAcentral's name for it is "small subunit ribosomal RNA". It matches the Rfam family "Bacterial small subunit ribosomal RNA". Lineage: Eukaryota; Metazoa; Chordata; Amphibia; Caudata; Ambystomatidae. The record is from RNAcentral.
CAAAGAUUUGGUCCUAAUCUUACUAUUAAUUAUGAUUAUAUUUAUACAUGCAAGUAUCUGCACCCCGGUGAAAAUGCCCUAAAUUUACUAAUAAUAAACUAAGGAGCCGAUAUCAGGCACAUGCCCAUUACAUCUUGCUAAGCCACACCCACAAGGGGUUCCAGCAGUAAUAAACAUUGAGAUAUAAGCGACAGCUUGAAUCAGUAAUAAUCUAAAGAGUUGGUUAAUCUCGUGCCAGCCACCGCGGUUAUACGAGAAACCCAAAUUAAUUAACCACGGCCCAAAGAGCAGUUAAAUGAAAUUUAAAUAAUAGUUUAAAAAAUUAACUAAGCCGUUAUACGCAAUAGUUAAAUCUAAAACCAUUAACGAAAGUAAUACUAGUAAAUAAAAAAUAUUGAAGCCGCGAAAGCUACGAUACAAACUGGGAUUAGAUACCCCACUAUGCCUAGCCAUAAACUUUGACCAUUCCGCCAGAGUACUACGAGCAAUAGCUUAAAACUCAAAGGACUUGGCGGUGCUCUACACCCACCUAGAGGAGCCUGUUCUAUAAUUGAUAAUCCCCAAUAAACCUCACCACUCAUUGCAAUACAGCCUAUAUACCGCCGCCGUCAGCUUACCCUUUAAAGGAAGACAAGUAAGCAAAAUGACAAACAUAAAAACGUCAGGUCAAGGUGUAGCAUAUGGGGUGGGAAGAAAUGGGCUACAUUUUCUUUAAGAAAAAACGAAAAACCAAAUGAAAAAAGAUUGGAAGGAGGAUUUAGCAGUAAAAAGAAAUAAGAGUGUUCUUUUUAAAUUUGGCUAUAGAGCGCGCACACACCGCCCGUCACCCUCUUCAACACUAUGCUUAAGUAAUUAACAAAACUAUAAAACAAAGAAGAGGAAAGUCGUAACAUGGUAAGUUUACCGGAAGGUGAACUUGGAUU